GCAACAGUGACCCUACAAGACAUGGCCUUGAAAAUCUUCCUGUGCUGUAAAGUCAGGAUCUCUGAACAUUUCCAUUGCAUACAGUCUUUGGUGUGGUUAGCAAGAUUCCAGCUUGAACCCAGGCCGGGCCAGCUGAGGAAGUCUUUUAGAGCUGGUAAGAAAAUAUCAGUUGUGCUGAUAAGAAGUCAGACACGUGGAUGGAACCAUGAUCACCCUGCAGCACAUUUUCUAAUUGCCUGUUACUGAUCAGAGCCAGGGCCACUUGACAUCAUCUCAGUAUCUGGUUCCUGCUCAUGAUGGACUGCUCCUGACAUCUAGGUUGUACUCAGUAAGCUGGAAAUCGCUCUUCCUUCUGCCGGCAUCUGCAUGAUACCACAAUUUGCAGCCUUGUUAGCAGUCUCAUUUCUAAGCCCAUGUACAAGCAGGAUCUCAGUCUUUUGCAUCUGUAUUUCCAUUCAUCUGGACUCCUUUCAUUUGUUUAAUUAUUCCUCUACUCAUUCUUCGAUAAGAUAUAGUAUUCUGUAAUUUAUAAUGGUGUUGAUUCCUUUGACGAGUCAGACACAGGCAGGAGUGAGAAAGCCCUUACAGGUUGUCUAGCCUGCUGGGAGAUGGACUGAUCCACCUUUAGUAUUGGGAGCUGCUCUAGAAUUCAGUUUCUGAGAUGUUCUGGCCCAGCCAAGCCUCUGGCAAGGAUAAGUGUCCCCAUCUUGCCUGCCUACAAUUUCUUCUCUCUCUCCCCUUACCUGUGCAGUUGGCUCUAUCUGGGUUCAGUCUUCUGCUCCGAUGAAGACAUGAUCUGGCUGGCUGCAAACUUGCCAACUCACUUGCCAUGAGCAAUGCAGCUGCACCAAGCCAGAGCUCCGUAUAUGCUGGACACCUCUGCAGCACAGGGAACUGAUGGUAGAAGAACAAGCAGAUUUGCUGGCAAAUCACUUUGUGAAGAAAAUGGAAGAGAAAUGAUCGGCUUUGGCUGCUGCUGAUGGCUGAUGGGGCUUCAUAGGAAGAUUCUGAAGAAGAUAUAGAAGCCCUUUGGAGUGAGUGAGCGGCUUCGUGGUGCUUUGUUACCAGCUGGGCUUAAACCACGACACCAAGCCACCCCAGACUUGUCAGGUUUGAAGCUUUCUUCUCCACUGUGUUCUGGAUACUCAUCUGUAUGGACUUCUGGACCCUGGUCCUCAAAUUUCAGAAAGGGUUGAUCAAAUUGUUUCCUUUUGUUAAGGACUUUUCUCCUCCAUGAGAUUUGAAACCGGUGCUAAUGACCCUCACUUACAUCCUUCCUGUGAAUGUGCAGCAACUUCCUCACUGAAAUAUCUGCCAAAGAAGGUGUGUUUAUUGUUGAAGAUUACCUUCUCCUGGAGGGAUCAGAAAUUCCAGAUGUUUUCUGAGGCUCUUUAUGUCAACAGCUGAGUGAUCUGGGGAUAUUGUCAUCUCUGUGUGCAGACUAUUCAUGUAGAUAAUGGGCUGUCAUGGCCUGUUUUGAGACUGCAGUCAAGGCUGCAUCCAUGAUUGGAGCGAACGCCACUAGCUCUUCAGCUAAGUGGGUGGUAACGCUGAGAAAUUUCACCUUUCCUGUCAUCUGCCAAGUAUUCAGAUGGAGCUCCUUUCAAUUUUAUGAGACCCUGGGCCAUCCUGGAAGCAUCCGGGAAUGAUGCUGCACUUGGCAGUGUUCUUACAAUCUUUAUUGUGGACGUCAAGACAGACAAAGAAUCAUUUUUUCCUCUAGAGAAGGGAAUGGAAGGGAAACUGCUGUAGAAGGAAGAAUUACAUGGUCAGGAAGCAGGUAUUUCCCCUGCCUUCUUCCUUGGCAUGAAUGUAUUUGUGCACUACAUAUAUGAAAAAAGCUCCAUUUGCUGGUGGCCCAAAAGAGGCACUCCUUCUCUGAGUGGCUGGGAAGGCAACAGAUUGGGAGUGAAGGAGACAGCACUGUUGCUAGCUAAGGCAGUCAGCUGGGAAAGCCGCCUCUGAUCCCUUUUCUGGACUCCUAAGGGAAUGCUGUUGAGCAGGCAGAUGUUUGUCUUCUUCAGUGAGAAUCUACACACUGUUCCUUGCAAUACAGAAGCCUGAGCUAAGGAGCCAGAACCUCAAGAAUAUAUUAAUUUAUGGAGCCUUGCUUAGAGGAUAAAGAAAACUUGUAUCUGGGCGUGUUGGCAAAAUUAACUCUUCACUGAUGCUUGACUUCAAUGCCAGAGUAAAGGGACUUCAGUAUCACUAAUGGGCAGGGAAGCAGAAAAGAGAAGGAGCCAUCGGAAAGACCUGAGGAGAAGAAUUGGACCUAUCUGUUUUUACCAGUAGAAGGAAGACAAAUGGAGCAGUUUUUCAACAACUGAAAACCAUCUCAAGAUACACAGAUCAACUUAGACUAUAACUAAAACAACAGCAGCAAUAUCAACACCACCACCACAGUCUUCCAGUCCUUUGACUGGUACUUAUCUGACCAAUAAUGGCCAAAAGCCAUCUAUCAUUGCUUAAACUACAUGAUGAUAAAACCAGAGUCUGGAAAAUGUCAUUACUCGAUCUAUUUGGUAAACUUUCAAAUAUUUCUUUCAGAAGAUUUGCCAGGCAAACAGCAUAGUAUAAAAUUUAGGUUUAUUUAAUUUGUGUUUUAUUGCUUUUGAAAUUAACUUUCAAAAAAAGUCGUGAUUAAAAAGCUACAGCUGAGCAAAGGUACAAAGCUUCUGUUGUAGAGAGCUGAGUGAGUCUGAGUCGGUAGAUCAUGGAUUUGUAGGUGCAUUUUAGUCCAGAAAAUUGUGCUGCAGGGGUGUUUAGUGGGUUUAGACCUGUGUCUGAAACGAGCUGGACAGGGUGAAUGCAAUAUCUUACUUGACCUUUUUCUCUGUUAUGGCUGCUGUUUGUUGUGUCAAGGUCAAAAUAUUGGUACAUCCAGACAGGGAGACCAUUCAUUCCUUAUUUCAAAGGGAUAUCACAUUAUUCAUCCUUUAGUUGCCAGAAUAAAAGAAAGGCUGAGUCAACAAACCAGUGCUUUGCAGAGACACUAAAUAACAAAACUUUUAGUUAGGCUUUGUUUUCACUGUAGAAUUCAACCAAAAGGAAUCUAAUUUUCAAGUAAAACUAUCCACAAAGCUCCUUCCCUCAAAAAAUGGCAUCUUCUU
Molecule: long non-coding RNA, 3110 nt
Organism: Harpia harpyja (harpy eagle)
Lineage: Eukaryota; Metazoa; Chordata; Aves; Accipitriformes; Accipitridae
Exons: 13
Source: RefSeq, a predicted model, not a curated record